RNAcentral lists this transfer RNA (64 nucleotides) under Phratora vulgatissima. RNAcentral describes it as "tRNA-Glu". Lineage: Eukaryota; Metazoa; Arthropoda; Insecta; Coleoptera; Chrysomelidae. The record is from RNAcentral.
AUUUAUAUAGUUUAAAAAAAAACCUUACAGUUUCAUUGUAAAAUUAGAUUAAUUCUUAUAAAUA